This 21-nucleotide microRNA is filed under the name Cynara cardunculus (cardoon). RNAcentral's name for it is "cca-miR6114-3p". Lineage: Eukaryota; Viridiplantae; Streptophyta; Magnoliopsida; Asterales; Asteraceae. The record is from miRBase by way of RNAcentral.
UCACGUCCAUUGUCCCUUUCA